Non-coding RNA from Paragonimus kellicotti, 3923 nucleotides. NCBI's taxonomy places the organism in Eukaryota, Metazoa, Platyhelminthes, Trematoda, Plagiorchiida, Troglotrematidae. The record is from the annotation of a GenBank genome assembly.
ACAUGUUUCAGGUGCCCUUAACCCUGUCGCUGACGCUCUUUCACGCGUCCAUGCCACCUUAGUCACACCCUCUUCCGUUGACCUUAAUGAUUUGGCUGCGGCCCAGGCGCGAGAGCCUGAUUUCCAAACUUCUUUACAACGUUGCUCCUUGAAGCUACGCGCCAUUCCGCUGCCUAAUGCAGACGGAACCAUCCUUUGCGAUAUGACUACAGGUAUUCCGAGACCUGUAGUGCCACUAGCUUACCGGCGUGCUGUCUUCAAUCAGCUUCACAACCUCUCGCACCCAGGUAUUCGCGCCACGGUUAAGUUGGUAACGGAUAGGUUUGUCUGGCCUAAGGUUUAACUCUGACGUUCGUAGUUGGGCACGCGCUUGCCUACAGUGCCAACGUUCCAAGGUGCAUAAACACACACGAAGCCCAGUCUCCUCAUUCGGUCUUCCAGAUGCCAGGUUUUCGCACGUCCACUUAGAUUUAGUUGGACCCUUGCCGCCUUCACGUGGCUACGUUUACAUUUUAACCUGUGUCGACCGAUUUUCAAGAUGGCCGGAUGCCAUCCCACUGAAGAAUUGCUCCUCUGAGGCUGUCGUGCAAGCUUUCUUGGAACGUUGGGUGGCCAACUACGGAUGCCCUACAACCAUUACGACGGACCGCGGUUCACAUUUCGAAUGCUCAACAUUCGAAGCUAUGACGAACUUUCUUGGAUGCCGACGCAUUCGUACCACGGCAUACCAUCCGUCCUCGAAUGGUUUAGUGGAACGUUUCCACAGGCAGCUUAAAGCUUCGCUUUGUGCCACCACUAAUCCGGCAUGGAGUGAAGUCCUCCCUCUUGUACUUCUAGGGAUUCGAAACACACUGAAGGCUGACCUACAAUGCACCCCGGCAGAAUUGGUUUAUGGCUGCACAUUGCGUCUGCCUGGUGAAUUUGUUUCGCCCCCUUCAUUAACGUCUUCUCUUCCUCGACUUUUGCUUCUAAAUUAUCCCAAUAUAUGCGGCAAAUACAACCAACACCUCCCCGUGAACAAAAUAGGCCAGUGCAAAUGCACAAGGAUUUGGCCACCUGUUCACAUGUACUCGUCCGGUGUGAUGAAGUACGCAAGCCGCUUCAGCCACCUUACUCGGGCCCCUUCAGAGUGCUUCGACGAGCAUCGAAGCAUUUCACGAUCGACCGUCAUGGUCGUCAUGACACCGUUUCCGUCGAUCGUCUCAAAGUCGCAUAUGUUGACGACGACAUGGCCCGAGCUUCUCCGCAGGCAUCUGCAACAGCCCCCGUUUUCCCUUUUCCCAAACAUCCAUCACAUUUGCCGGCACCCCUACACCACCUGCCCCGCGCCACACGCGAUCAGGACGUCGCGUCCAUUUCCCAGCACGUUUUGUUGAAGUUGUUUACUACACGUAGUUUGUUUUCUUUCCCAGUAACCUUCCCAUUUCAGAAAUAAACAAAAAAACGCAAAACACAAAAACGACAAAAAAAAAACAUUUUACGCAACACAACGUGCAGUUCAAUAGCCACUGAAUGGUUACAAUGGUGAGCCUGUAUAUAUUUUCUUUUGCUCGCCAGGUACUCAUUUUCUUUCUACAUUAUAGGUCGCGCGCAGGACACGGUGGGGAGAGAGCGCAUCCCCAGUUGUCAGUUGCGAGCAGGGGGAAUACCUAUCUCCAUCUUGUUUCUCUUGAGUUUUGGUGGUGGUAGCCCGCUUCCGACAGACACACCUUCAGGACGCAUAGGACGAUCCGGAUAUUGAAGCAGACGCGACCCUCUUCAUUCGUCACCAACCUCUUUAAUCGUGCACCCCCCCCUACGUAGCGUAUGCGAGUACCUCCUGCUCGCCCAACUUCACCUCUGCGAUACUCAUUGUGUCUUCUAAGCUGCAGUGUUCUAUUGUUUUUGCUCGAAGGCUUUCCAGCUGAAGCUCCAUAGGAGACAUCUGUAGAGAUCACUCUUGGUUUUGCAACGUAUUCCAACUGUGUUGCUUCUUAUUUUUUUGCGUGUGGCAUCAUUGCGAUUAUUUGUAUGCAGGUCUGCAUUCCUCUCGUUUUGUACGACCGUCCAAGGUCAAAUUAAUUAUAACAACUUCCGGUCGCUUGCUGCUGGUUUGUCAUCAUUUGCUUUUGUCGUGCUUCACUUAAAUCUUGCUUUCCCAGUCCACUUGCAAUAAACGUCGUCGCCCAGUAUUUUGGUUUUCUGGUUUUAUCAUUGUGGAGAUCAGGUACAGUUCUAGACGGGAACGUCCAGUUCUCUACAUUGUCUUGACGUUCAAGCAGUCUAAACGGACCGUCAUAGGGAGGCUGUAGAGACAUUCUUCUGAACGUCAGCUCUGAUAAAACACGAAAGGGCAAGUACAAUUCCGGAGAGGGAGCCUGAGAAACGGCUACCACUUCCAAGGAAGGCAGCAGGCACGCAAAUUACCCAAUCCCGGCACGGGGAGGUAGUGACGAAAAAUACGAAUACGGGACUCAACAGAGGCUCCGUAAUUCGAAUGAGUACAAUUUAAAUCCUUUAACGAGGAUCAACUGGAGGGCAAGUCUGGUGCCAGCAGCCGCGGUAACUCCAGCUCCAGAAGCGUAUAUUAAAGUUGUUGCAGUUAAAAAGCUCGUAGUUGGAUCUGGGUCGCAUGGCUACGUGCCGUCGCUCACUUUCUCGGUUGGCUGUUAAGGCCCUGGGUUUGGUGGGUCGGUGUCGUGGUUGUGUGGUCUUUCUGCCGUGUCUGUUUUGCAGGUGCUGACUAGGCCUUCGGGUUUGUCGGCAUGCUUUCAGAUGCCUUUAAACGGGUGUCGGGGGCGGACGGCACGUUUACUUUGAACAAAUUUGAGUGCUCAAAGCAGGCCCUUGUGCCUGAAAAUUCUUGCAUGGAAUAAUGGAAUAGGACUUCGGUUCUAUUUUGUUGGUUUUCGGAUCCGAAGUAAUGGUUAAGAGGGACAGACGGGGGCAUUUGUAUGGCGGUGUUAGAGGUGAAAUUCUUGGAUCGCCGCCAGACAAACUACAGCGAAAGCAUUUGCCAAGGAUGUUUUCAUUGAUCUGGAGCGAAAGUCAGAGGUUCGAAGACGAUCAGAUACCGUCCUAGUUCUGACCAUAAACGAUGCCAACUGACGAUCCGCGGUGGUUCUUUUAUUGUCCCCGCGGGCAGUCCCCGGGAAACCUUUAAGUCUUUGGGCUCCGGGGGAAGUAUGGUUGCAAAGCUGAAACUUAAAGGAAUUGACGGAAGGGCACCACCAGGAGUGGAGCCUGCGGCUUAAUUCGACUCAACACGGGAAAACUCACCCGGCCCGGACACUGUGAGGAUUGACAGAUUGAAAGCUCUUUCUUGAUUCGGUGGUUGGUGGUGCAUGGCCGUUCUUAGUUGGUGGAGCGAUUUGUCUGGUUAAUUCCGAUAACGAACGAGACUUUGGCCUGCUAAAUAGUAUGCCUGUCCUCUGUGCCCGUGCGGGUGGCGGUGCUCGCUGCCUCUUCGGGGGUGGUGGUGCCGUUCGCCGGCGGGUGCUGCGCAGGUGUUUACUUCUUAGAGGGACAAGCGGCGUGACAGUCGCACGAAAAUGAGCAAUAACAGGUCUGUGAUGCCCUUAGAUGUCCGGGGCCGCACGUGCGCUACAAUGACGGUUUCAGCGAGUCUGGGAACCUGGCCCGAAAGGGUUGGGCAAACUGAGUCAUCACCGUCGUGACUGGGAUCGGGGCUUGCAAUUGUUCCCCGUGAACGAGGAAUUCCUGGUAAGUGCAAGUCAUAAGCUUGCGCUGAUUACGUCCCUGCCCUUUGUACACACCGCCCGUCGCUACUACCGAUUGAAUGGUUUAGCAAGGUCCUCGGAUUGGCGCCAUUGUAGUUGUUUCGGCAGCUCGACCGGUGCUGAGAAGACGACCAAACUUGAUCAUUUAGAGGAAGUAAAAGUCGUAACAAGGUUUCCGUAGGUGAACCUGCGGAAGGAUCAUUA